GUUAUUUUGGCAGAAUAGUGCAAUAGAUUUAGAAUCUAUAUAUGUAUAAUUGCUUAUACAAAUAAUA
This 67-nucleotide transfer RNA is filed under the name Polygraphus poligraphus. RNAcentral describes it as "tRNA-Leu". It matches the Rfam family "tRNA". From Rfam's summary of the family: Transfer RNA (tRNA) molecules are approximately 80 nucleotides in length. Their secondary structure includes four short double-helical elements and three loops (D, anti-codon, and T loops). Lineage: Eukaryota; Metazoa; Arthropoda; Insecta; Coleoptera; Curculionidae. The record is from RNAcentral.